This 676-nucleotide ribosomal RNA is filed under the name Shewanella sp. KR05-93. RNAcentral's name for it is "bacterial SSU rRNA". It matches the Rfam family "Bacterial small subunit ribosomal RNA", at positions 36 to 701 of the family's 1533-position model. The record is from RNAcentral. Lineage: Bacteria; Pseudomonadati; Pseudomonadota; Gammaproteobacteria; Alteromonadales; Shewanellaceae.
UUACUUCGUUUGGUGUUUGAUGCAUAUCGAGCGGUAACAGGAAGGUGCUUGCACCUUUGCUGACGAGCGGCGGACGGGUGAGUAAUGCCUAGGUAUCUGCCCAGUCGAGGGGGAUAACAGUUGGAAACGACUGCUAAUACCGCAUACGCCCUACGGGGGAAAGGAGGGGACCUUCGGGCCUUUCGCGAUUGGAUGAACCUAGGUGGGAUUAGCUAGUUGGUGAGGUAAUGGCUCACCAAGGCGACGAUCCCUAGCUGGUCUGAGAGGAUGAUCAGCCACACUGGAACUGAGACACGGUCCAGACUCCUACGGGAGGCAGCAGUGGGGAAUAUUGCACAAUGGGGGAAACCCUGAUGCAGCCAUGCCGCGUGUGUGAAGAAGGCCUUCGGGUUGUAAAGCACUUUCAGCGAGGAGGAAAGGUUAAGUCUUAAUACGGCUUAGCUGUGACGUUACUCGCAGAAGAAGCACCGGCUAACUUCGUGCCAGCAGCCGCGGUAAUACGAGGGGUGCAAGCGUUAAUCGGAAUUACUGGGCGUAAAGCGUACGCAGGCGGUUUGUUAAGCAAGAUGUGAAAGCCCUGGGCUCAACCUAGGAACCGCAUUUUGAACUGGCAAACUAGAGUCUUGUAGAGGGGGGUAGAAUUUCAGGUGUAGCGGUGAAAUGCGUAGAGAUCUGA